This 459-nucleotide ribosomal RNA is filed under the name uncultured bacterium. Its description in RNAcentral is "partial 16S ribosomal RNA". It matches the Rfam family "Bacterial small subunit ribosomal RNA", at positions 338 to 795 of the family's 1533-position model. The record is from RNAcentral.
CCUACGGGAGACAGCAGUGAGGAAUAUUGGUCAAUGGUCGGGAGACUGAACCAGCCAAGCCGCGUGAGGGAUGAAGGUACAGAGUAUCGUAAACCUCUUUUGUCAGGGAACAAAGGCGGGGACGUGUCCCCGGAUGAGUGUACCUGAAGAAAAAGCAUCGGCUAACUCCGUGCCAGCAGCCGCGGUAAUACGGAGGAUGCGAGCGUUAUCCGGAUUUAUUGGGUUUAAAGGGUGCGCAGGCGGUCUGUUAAGUCAGCGGUAAAAGCCCGGGGCUCAACCCCGGCCCGCCGUUGAAACUGGCAGUCUCGAGUUGGCGAGAAGUAUGCGGAAUGCGCGGUGUAGCGGUGAAAUGCAUAGAUAUCGCGCAGAACUCCGAUUGCGAAGGCAGCAUGCCGGCUCCACACUGACGCUGAGGCACGAAAGCGUGGGUAUCGAACAGGAUUAGAUACCCCUGUAGUC